UGGGGAAUAUUGCACAAUGGGCGCAAGCCUGAUGCAGCCAUGCCGCGUGUAUGAAGAAGGCCUUCGGGUUGUAAAGUACUUUCAGCGGGGAGGAAGGGAGUAAAGUUAAUACCUUUGCUCAUUGACGUUACCCGCAGAAGAAGCACCGGCUAACUCCGUGCCAGCAGCCGCGGUAAUACGGAGGGUGCAAGCGUUAAUCGGAAUUACUGGGCGUAAAGCGCACGCAGGCGGUUUGUUAAGUCAGAUGUGAAAUCCCCGGGCUCAACCUGGGAACUGCAUCUGAUACUGGCAAGCUUGAGUCUGGUAGAGGGGGGUAGAAUUCCAGGUGUAGCGGUGAAAUGCGUAGAGAUCUGGAGGAAUACCGGUGGCGAAGGCGGCCCCCUGGACGAAGACUGACGCUCAGGUGCGAAAGCGUGGGGAGCAAACAGG
Molecule: ribosomal RNA, 429 nt
Filed under: Chloroflexota bacterium
Lineage: Bacteria; Bacillati; Chloroflexota
Also listed under: 1 other name
Description: Chloroflexi bacterium partial 16S ribosomal RNA
Rfam family: Bacterial small subunit ribosomal RNA
Source: RNAcentral